UACGGAGGAUCCAAGCGUUAUCCGGAUUUAUUGGGUUUAAAGGGUGCGUAGGCGGAUUAUUAAGUCAGAGGUGAAAGUUUGCAGCUUAACUGUAAAAUUGCCUUUGAAACUGAUAAUCUUGAGUAUAGUUGAGGUGGGCGGAAUGUGUCAUGUAGCGAUGAAAUGCUUAGAUAUGAUACAGAACACCAAUUGCGAAGGCAGCUCACUAAACUGUAACUGACGCUGAGGCACGAAAGCGUGAGGAGCAAACAGG
RNAcentral lists this ribosomal RNA (253 nucleotides) under uncultured bacterium. RNAcentral describes it as "partial 16S ribosomal RNA". It matches the Rfam family "Bacterial small subunit ribosomal RNA", at positions 524 to 776 of the family's 1533-position model. The record is from RNAcentral.